Molecule: ribosomal RNA, 168 nt
Filed under: Achromobacter xylosoxidans
Lineage: Bacteria; Pseudomonadati; Pseudomonadota; Betaproteobacteria; Burkholderiales; Alcaligenaceae
Description: partial 16S ribosomal RNA
Rfam family: Bacterial small subunit ribosomal RNA
Source: RNAcentral
UUCCUACGGGAGGCAGCAGUGGGGAAUUUUGGACAAUGGGGGAAACCCUGAUCCAGCCAUCCCGCGUGUGCGAUGAAGGCCUUCGGGUUGUAAAGCACUUUUGGCAGGAAAGAAACGUCGCUGGCUAAUACCUCGCGAAACUGACGUACCGCAGAAAGCCGGUUCCCC